GUCAAAGGAGCGUGUUUACUGUUGUUAAUUCACAGUGUUCUAGUCAUUAUUAUGAUAUUGGGUUAAAGUGUGAACCUAUCUGUGAGCAUGGCACUGUAAGGUUACAGGGAGGAACUUUGUCUACUGGUCGUGUGGAAGUAUGUGUUAAUGGUACCUGGGGAACAGUUUGCAGUGAUUUCUGGGACAAUAAUGAUGCUAGUGUCAUAUGUAAUCAGUUAGGAUAUUCACCUUAUGGAGCUAUAGCUGUCUCAGGAUAUUAUUCCACUUCAGUAUGGCCACAUCAUAUUAUCGAUUUAAACUGUACUGGAACU
Long non-coding RNA from Amphimedon queenslandica, 311 nucleotides. RefSeq lists it as uncharacterized. The transcript is spliced from 3 exons. NCBI's taxonomy places the organism in Eukaryota, Metazoa, Porifera, Demospongiae, Haplosclerida, Niphatidae. The record is from RefSeq and is a predicted model, not a curated record.